Long non-coding RNA from Felis catus (domestic cat), 2269 nucleotides. RefSeq lists it as uncharacterized. NCBI's taxonomy places the organism in Eukaryota, Metazoa, Chordata, Mammalia, Carnivora, Felidae. The transcript is spliced from 2 exons. The record is from RefSeq and is a predicted model, not a curated record.
UUGACAAGCUGCGAGCUGGUCCGGGCCUUUUUUUUUUUUUUUUUUCCCCUUUCCUUUCCCCCCCUCCCCUCCCUCCCCGGCUUCCUUUCUUUGUAGCCACCUCAGGGGAAGCAACAGAUCGUCACUCGGUGUUCUCACCGAAAGCACGUAAUCGCCGGUGUAACUCAUGUUGGCUGGGGGGCCUCCCGGCGCGCGGCGAGGCUGGGGUGCGUCCCAUGCCACUCGCUUGUGCUCAGCUGCACGGUCCUGGCCCUCAAGUGCGCCGAGGGCGGUGAGAGAGCUCAACUCCUGCCACCCAUCACUCCCCGGGUGAGGGAUGCCCCAGGCUGGGGGUGGCCGGGUGGGAGCUCGUCGCUGCGUGGCCCGUGCGCGGUCCUGGAAUCUAUUCUCCUGGAGGCUCGCGUUCGCACCUCCUUCUUCGCUAUCCCCCUCCCACAGGCUUGCUCUGGAAACCACCUCUGCCUCCGACUCUGGCCGGACCCCCUUCGGGGCCAGGGUUCGCAGCCGUGGAUGUGCCUGCCUCGUGGCUUGCCCGAUUUGCACGGUGACUUGAUUACACGCUCGCAUUCAUGGUCACUUCCGAAGCGCUUUAGUGCCUUCCGUCCCUAAACCGCCAACAACCAGGGCGGCUUCCCCCGCGGUUUGUCAGGCAUCUGCAGGUCCCGGAAGGGCCUUCGUCUUACCCGGGAUCCACCUCCACUUCAUUCUCCCCGCCGGCCUCCUCACUCCACCCCCUGCCCUUAAAGAACCCCCCACCCCCUCCUCCCCGCUGCCUGCCGGGGUUCGGAGUCGCCCGGCAGAGCCGGGGGCUGUGGGGGCUGCGCCACGGUGCACGGGUCCGCCCGCCUGCCUGGUCUCAUGGAGCUGAGGACCCGGGAAGCCGUGCGGUUGAGGCGAGCCUUGGGCUGCUUUAGGGGCGCUGACAGCCGAGGAGCGUUUUCCUGGGUAUGCUGCACCUUCCGCGGGCUCAGCAGGCUGCCAGCGGAGCUUCAGAGCUGAGUGGGGGCAGUGAGGAGAGGCUAGGGACAGGGAGCCGUGGCUGAGAAAAGGGUAACAUGCUUCCUCUCCUUCCUGGCGAAGCGUGAGAGCCAGUGAUGUGCAGGGAGAAACUCAGAAGGCCCGGCGCCUUUUCUGCUACUCAUCCCACAGAAGAAACACAAUGCCAGAGGAAAGAGCGCUGCUUCCCAAACUCGCAGGACCGGGGGUGACAAGAACGCCUCGGAAAGGCUAGAUUGGAGCCCAAGGUAGAGACAGGGGCCAUAGCUGCUAGUAGGAGUCUUAGCUCUCUUGGGAAAAAGAAAGAAAAAAAUUAAGAUGGUGAAAAAUGCUUGCCAUCCUGCAGGAUUGAAUUAUCAACGUUUGGGAGAAGUGAAAGAGGGCAUAGGGCUGCCAGGCAGGACCGCAGCUGGGAGGGGCCCAGCCCUGGGGCCUCCCCACACCUAUCUUCUUGGAAGGAGCUGGAUGCCGCUGAAGCAAAGUUGAAAAAUGAAAAAGGAUAACCUUUUCCCUUUCCCCAUCCAGGAAAUAGCUGAAGGAGGCCCUACACCCGAACUGAGCCCACCCUGCUCAGGGGAAGACCUGACGGGUGCUAAGGCCACCUGGAAUGCCAAGUCCGAGUUGUAUUUCUUAAAGAGAUCGAGCGGAUGAGGCUGUGACAUUGGCCCCUGCUGACUGGUUUCCCACGAGCUGUUCUUUCUCAGGAGCUCCACAAAGCGGAGCCAUCUCCAGACAGCAAUCUUCAGCAUGUAUUUCCUUUUAUCCUCAACCCAGAGCCCCACGGCAGCUAAUGCGAAAGGCCAAAAAUGUUUUGGAGGAAGAAAAACAAAGGCAGGAAGUGGCGGCGGCCUGACGGUGCGUGUGUGUCUGCGGAGAAGGGAGGGAGCCGUUUCAAUCUCUUCUUGUUGUUUUUCCAAACUUCAAGGUCUAGGCAGCCCUCGCAGGGCCGGGCCCUUUCGUUCCCCAAGCCGCGUUUGGAGAUGGCCACCCGGAGAGGAGAAGGCUGGCGCCCCCGCGUCAGCGUGGUCAGGCGGAAACGGCUAACGAGGCGAUUUGCUCAGCAAAGCAGACCGAGCCUUUGCAAGGCUCCGUGUGAUUUGGCCUUAAAUGUGGGGGGGUGGGGGGUGGGGGUUGAGGGGUUCGGCAGCACCUCCCGGAUCCUCCUGCUGGGGCUGAAUGCAUCUUGGUGCAAAUGAUUCCUGCGUCCUACACUCCACCCACCUCCCCAGGCAGGAUACUGGAAUAAAUUGUGUCCAGGUGCUUCUGCCCAGCA